ACACAUUUACUAUAAAAAAUAACAUUUUUAGCCAUUAAAGCUAAAGUAUGUAGGCACUCCCCAACCCACACCCGCCUUUUUUCCUAGAAAAGUGCCCUUUACACACCCUGUUUUUUUAAAGAAAUGCCUUUUUAAAUAUUAAUUUUGGGGGGUGGAGGGCAAAACCUUUUUUUUAAAAAACAGGUUUAAACCUAUAAAUAGAGGAACAAAAAACUGAACAAGACUGUUAAAGAAAUAUUGCUAAUACAAGACUUUUACCGUUAUGGGGAGCAACAACAUGGACGAGGCCUUUUUUCUUGACAUUCCAGAUGCCGCGCUACAAGCUUUAAACUUUGAACAAGAUGGAAGUCAAAACCACCCAAUAGUUUUCCUGAAAUUACAGAAGAAGACUCAUCAAGCGUUAUUCUUCAAAAAGAAAUGUUGAAGGGGAGCGCGCUUAAAGAGGCCAAGAAAUUUCCCUUUGAGGCAGCUGCAGUUGGAGGCAAGGGUAUUAAGCACAGCGAUUUUGAACAGCCCUGCGCGUCCAAAUCUCUUAUUGCACAAAACCAGCCGGUACUAAAAAAGGCCAAAAAGUCUACCUCUAAAACAGCAUUCGUUUUCAGGGAGGGGUUAAAGGGGCUCAGACCCCCCCCCCAGCUUUUGAACCACUCAAAGCUACCUCUACAACUUCCAGGAACCAUGGUAAGCGAGGCAGAGGAGUUAAAGCCCCUAGUUUUCAACAUACCUUUGCCUCCCCGACCCAAAACAAUUAGCUUUAAAAACAAACAACUCUGUGGAAGCAACCGUGUUUACGGCUGGUUUGAGCAGGGUGAAGAAGUUAACCCCUCG
This is a long non-coding RNA of Gopherus evgoodei (Goodes thornscrub tortoise), 828 nucleotides long. RefSeq lists it as uncharacterized. The transcript is spliced from 4 exons. Lineage: Eukaryota; Metazoa; Chordata; Testudines; Testudinidae. The record is from RefSeq and is a predicted model, not a curated record.